UACGUAGGUGGCAAGCGUUGUCCGGAUUUACUGGGCGUAAAGAGCGCGCAGGCGGUCGUCCAAGUCGCGUGUGAAAGCCCCCGGCUCAACUGGGGAGGGUCACGCGAUACUGGUCGACUCGAAGGCAGGAGAGGGUAGUGGAAUUCCCGGUGUAGAGGUGAAAUUCGUAGAUAUCGGGAGGAACACCAGUGGCGAAGGCGGCGAUCUGGGUGGAUACUGACGCUGAGGUGCGAAAGCGUGGGGAGCAAACAGG
This 253-nucleotide ribosomal RNA is filed under the name uncultured bacterium. RNAcentral describes it as "partial 16S ribosomal RNA". It matches the Rfam family "Bacterial small subunit ribosomal RNA", at positions 524 to 776 of the family's 1533-position model. The record is from RNAcentral.